Molecule: transfer RNA, 89 nt
Filed under: Blumeria hordei DH14
Lineage: Eukaryota; Fungi; Ascomycota; Leotiomycetes; Helotiales; Erysiphaceae
Description: tRNA-Asn for anticodon GUU
Rfam family: tRNA
About the family: Transfer RNA (tRNA) molecules are approximately 80 nucleotides in length. Their secondary structure includes four short double-helical elements and three loops (D, anti-codon, and T loops). Further hydrogen bonds mediate the characteristic L-shaped molecular structure. tRNAs have two regions of fundamental functional importance: the anti-codon, which is responsible for specific mRNA codon recognition, and the 3' end, to which the tRNAs corresponding amino acid is attached (by aminoacyl-tRNA synthetases). tRNAs cope with the degeneracy of the genetic code in two manners: having more than one tRNA (with a specific anti-codon) for a particular amino acid; and 'wobble' base-pairing, i.e. permitting non-standard base-pairing at the 3rd anti-codon position.
Source: Rfam by way of RNAcentral
UCCCUCGUGGCGCAAUUGGCUAGCGCGUUCGACUGUUACCAGUGCAUUGUGUAAUCGAGAGGUUGGUGGUUCGAGCCCACCCGAGGGAG